Molecule: non-coding RNA, 154 nt
Filed under: pig gut metagenome
Source: RNAcentral
GCGACCGAGGCGGGGAAAGAAGGGGGAGGCGAAACCAAGACCCUACGAACAGGAACCCGAUAAGAGGCGUAGUCGGAGAGGCGAGUCGGCAAAAAGCGACAGAGCCCACAAGGUAAGCCGACAGCGUAGAUUGGGAGGGCGCUUGGGGAAAGGC